Rhododendron vialii is the source of this 285-nucleotide long non-coding RNA. RefSeq lists it as uncharacterized. NCBI's taxonomy places the organism in Eukaryota, Viridiplantae, Streptophyta, Magnoliopsida, Ericales, Ericaceae. The record is from RefSeq and is a predicted model, not a curated record. The transcript has 3 exons.
UUCAACGUUAGAGAGAGAGAGAGAGAGAGAGAGAUAGAGCAGCGUGGAGAAGAAGAGGAAGAAGAGUGACGGGGGAAGAUUGGAACCUCAAUUUCAGUAGGUGACGAGUCGGUGAAUCAAGGAGCACCGAAACCAUAGUUGUACUUUCUUUUGGAGUACGAGUUUUGCAGGCGUUGUAGAUAUCCACUGCUGAUCGUUGUGUGGUUGUACCCUCGCUUAGGGUAGCACGUCGGGAAGGCUGGACGAGUUUUGGCAAAAUUUUGUAGAUAGGGAUCUAGUUGCAGC